CCCUUAGAUGUCCUGGGCCGCACGCGCGCUACACUGACAUGUUCAACAAGCCUCCUAGUUCGACAGGAUUUGGGAAAUCUUUGAACGCAUGUCGUGAUAGGGAUAGAUCAUUGCAAUUAUUGAUCUUGAACGCGGAAUUCCUAGUAAACGCGAGUCAUCAGCUCGCAUUGAUUACGUCCCUGCCCUUUGUACACACCGCCCGUCGCACCUACCGAUUGAAUGUUUCGGUGAAGAUUCCGGAUAGGACUUUUUUGAUUUAUUUCAAUUCUGUCUUAAAAGCUAUCUAAACCUCAACAUUUAGAGGAAGGUGAAGUCGUAACA
Molecule: ribosomal RNA, 321 nt
Filed under: uncultured eukaryote
Lineage: Eukaryota
Description: partial 18S ribosomal RNA
Rfam family: Eukaryotic small subunit ribosomal RNA
Source: RNAcentral